CUCCAAGAAGCAGUCAUUUAAGGUGUCCAGAAAUUUUCAUCUUUGCUUUCCUGUCCUGAGGUGACACGUACCUGUGGACUUUGGUGUUGAAUAGAGAGCCCUUGAGAAAACCCCAAUGAUAGUUAGGUUGAUGAUAAUGGAGAUACCAAUUGAACCAACUGUUUCAGAAAGAGAGAGAAGUGGUGAGAAAGCUAAGAGCCAGUCGCGGCGUACAUUCAUGUCCAUAAAGAUGGCCUCCAUUUGGAAGUGUGUGCCCAUAAUCCCACACACAUGGAAAAGCUGAUGGCUGUGCCCUGCAACAGAGUCAAAUAUAUUUAACAAGAAACAUGUCUGGAUUUCAUUAAAAUACACCUCUAGCAGCUUAGCAAA
Non-coding RNA from Pelodiscus sinensis (Chinese soft-shelled turtle), 369 nucleotides. The record is from RefSeq and is a predicted model, not a curated record. Lineage: Eukaryota; Metazoa; Chordata; Testudines; Trionychidae.